UUGGGGAUAAGGUUUACAAAUGACCAAAAGUUAACACAAACAGCCUUGAGAGAGAGAGAGAGAGAGAGUGUGCGUAUGUCACAAAGGUGGGAACAAAGGGAGUGGGGUAGGGUUCUAGGAGUGGGUCCUGAUUUCCCAAGAAAAGAACCACCAAUCCAGGACCAACACAGCUAUAGCAGGGCCUCUUGAGCCACUGAAGGCAGCACCAGACACUGGCUUCUCCUCUCUUCCUGUACAUUAUCUUCAUUCUUCUAUCUAUAGACUACCUUUAUCUUCUAAGUGAAAACAUGACUGUCAGCAGCUUUCAAGCUUUAUCAUUUACAGAGCUUGCCUGAAGACAGACUGAUUCCAUUCUCUAGGUCUCCAAGCCCAGAAAGCUCAGAGAAAGACUUCGAUUGGUCUGAGUUAGGCCAGCUGUCCACCCCUGAACUAUCCAGAGCAGCCCUGCAGCUGGGCCGUUCCCAGAGAGAGGGAUGGAUAAAGGCACUCACUCUACAUAAGGAACAGCUCUAGUUUCCUUCCUUAAUUAAGAAGUAGUUUCACUUAAAAAAAAAAAUCUCUAAACACUGACUAAAAUGCUAUAAUGAAGUGAGCAACCAGGGGUAAAGAAGUACUAAUAAUUUCAAAGGCAGACACAAGUAUGAUUUGGAGAAGAAACAGCAGUCAUAGAUAAAUCAAAUUAUCAAUAAACGUAACACAUUGAUAGAGAGCUUUAAUGAAGAGCCAAUAAGCACAUGAACAGGAUGCUUCGUGUAUGAAACCCUCAUUGAAUACUGUGAAAGUUGUCAGGAUAAAAAUAGAGUCACUUGUGACAAAAUGGAGCUGGGAAAGGCCAUGAAGGAAGGGUUCUUAAUGCUCAAUCGCCUGAAAACAAGAACUGUUACAAAAGACUAUACCAAAACCACAACCUUGUACAAAGGCCACUGCAACCUUAUGCAAAAAAAAACUUCUGCAAGGACAUCUGCCCAGCAGUUGCCUGCCUAACCUUGGACUGAUGCCACCCUUAUUAUUGAUCCCUGUAAGCAAGGAUAAUUGUUUCAAAACAACUUAUGUAACCCUCCCCAUUUUAGCUUUAAAAAUUGCUGUCUUCCCUUGCCUCUUUGAAUGUGCCCAUAGUUUACUCGGCAUGUGUGUUCCACACUACAAUGCUUACUCUUGAAUACACUUAUUAUCUUUGGAGAAUCUCUCUCUGUUAUUUAGCUUGACAGUAUAUUCACUGAAAAUUUAAACUUGUUACUGAAUAAAGUCAUUAAAAUGAUGGAUUUUGUCUUCCAUUUUACUCUUUUAUUGAUACAUUUUUUUUGAGAAUAAGAAUCUC
This 1318-nucleotide long non-coding RNA is filed under the name Homo sapiens (human). RNAcentral's name for it is "HSALNT0011025". Lineage: Eukaryota; Metazoa; Chordata; Mammalia; Primates; Hominidae. The record is from RNAcentral.